RNAcentral lists this ribosomal RNA (253 nucleotides) under uncultured bacterium. RNAcentral's name for it is "partial 16S ribosomal RNA". It matches the Rfam family "Bacterial small subunit ribosomal RNA", at positions 524 to 776 of the family's 1533-position model. The record is from RNAcentral.
UACGUAGGGUGCAAGCGUUGUCCGGAAUUAUUGGGCGUAAAGAGCUCGUAGGCGGUCUGUUGCGUCGGCUGUGAAAACCCGGGGCUCAACUCCGGGCCUGCAGCCGAUACGGGCAGACUAGAGUUCGGCAGGGGAGACUGGAAUUCCUGGUGUAGCGGUGAAAUGCGCAGAUAUCAGGAGGAACACCGGUGGCGAAGGCGGGUCUCUGGGCAUGUCCUGACGCUGAGGUGCGAAAGCGUGGGGAGCAAACAGG